RNAcentral lists this ribosomal RNA (58 nucleotides) under Gloeochaete wittrockiana. RNAcentral describes it as "partial Bacterial large subunit ribosomal RNA". The record is from RNAcentral. Lineage: Eukaryota; Glaucocystophyceae; Gloeochaetales; Gloeochaetaceae.
UCGAUGUGGGGACAUUUGGCACCUCGAUGUAAGUCCAUUGCAAUCCGGGGCGGAAGUA